This 1301-nucleotide long non-coding RNA is filed under the name Ficedula albicollis (Collared flycatcher). Its description in RNAcentral is "lncRNA (ENSFALG00000024334.1)". The record is from RNAcentral. Lineage: Eukaryota; Metazoa; Chordata; Aves; Passeriformes; Muscicapidae.
GCGGUUACACAAGCGCUCCGCGGCCGCGCUGCGGUGUCACGGCAGGACAGACCCCAGCAGCGCUCACGCAAACCGGCCCUGCGGCUCAGGGCGGGAUUAGAGCUCAGCUGGCUCCUUCCCACCGCCCAGACACGUAUUUCAACUUGGUUCUCUCGCACUGAAGUAACUGAAGUGUUGGUUUUCACGGUAAUCAGAGCACGGUGCGCCCUCAGCACUCGCCAAGGCCAGCGGGACUGCGAGGAUGGGAACUGGGACAGGAACGUUCCCGGCUUUGGACAGCGCCGGCGGCCAGCGGGCCGUGACUCAGCACACAGAGCCAGCCAGGUCCUCAGCAGGGCUGAGCUCGGGAUAAACAAACUCACCCUUUCACCCUGACCUCGUUAGCAAACGGACAGACCCAAAAAAUCGAGGCCAAGGCACUUAAACCACCUUUCACUGGUCCCUCUUGACCCCACCCCACUGAAAAAGCAUUAUUCCUGACUUUCUUCAGCUGUGUGGAAGCCACACACAGCCCAACACCUAAACCAGAAGAUACAAGACCCAAUACCCCUAAGGACAGAUAUAUUUUUAAUUAAUCAUUAUUCCGUUUCUAAAUUACCAUCUGCAAGAGGCUUUCAGCUCGUUUAAAGCCCGUGUCUCUAAGAGGCAGAGGUGACUCAUCAGGGAGGCACAGGAUGUGUUCACUUAUGGGACCUUGUGGGAAUUAUCGGGCUCCUGAGCUCACAUCACUUAAAGCCAAGAUUCCCUUGGACCUGGUGUCACGGAAGGGCAGUUCCUGGCGGUAGCUUCCCCCUUCACUGACAAUUCUCAGAGAUGCCAGCAGCCAGGAGGGACUUUAUUCCUGGAGGAGAGCAGCCCCCAGAGCUCUGCCAGCUCUGCAAAGGGACAGGGAACAUCUCUGGGGGUGAAACGGGCUCCAUUCCAAGCACCCCUGGGACUGCAGACUGAGCCCUGAACUCCUGUUCAAAGGGCAGAGGCGGCUCUGGCACCUGCACAUCACCUGUCCUGGAGCACUCCGUCCUUCCCACAGGUGGCACUCACAGAGGAGCAAAGAGGGCUGUGGGAUCAGCACAGGAUUUAUCCACGAGUUUGUCAGAGCAAGAGUUCAGCCGGCUCUGAGGCAGGGAUUGCAUCACACAGCACCACAGCAGGGGGACGGUGCCAUGGCUGAGAAGAUGUCACCGAGCCCCGGCGGGGGCAUCACGCGGGGGGGGGGGGGGGGGGGGGGGGGGGGGGGGGGGGGGGGGGGGGGGGGGGGGGGGGGGGGGGGGGGGGGGGGGGGGGGGGGGGGGGGGGGGGGG